Molecule: non-coding RNA, 385 nt
Organism: Chelonoidis abingdonii (Abingdon island giant tortoise)
Lineage: Eukaryota; Metazoa; Chordata; Testudines; Testudinidae
Source: RefSeq, a predicted model, not a curated record
UUUUUUAAAUUGUGAAAAAAAAAAAAGACUCUCCUUUUGUCUGUCUGUCGUUCUCCCAGGGAGAGGCGGACAGAGCAGCAGUUAUGCUGUGGGAAGCUUGGCCCAGGUAUGAAAAAUCAUCAGUAUCAUACCUAGAAACUAAUCAUUUAAAACCCUAGAUAUGAAAGUAGAUCAUAAAAUGACUAGGAAGAUGCAGUUAGGGUUAUCCCUUUUAUUUCUUUAUGGCUUAUGGAUUCCUCUGUGCUAACCCCAGAUGCUUUUGUUUUGCUUGUAACCUUUAAGAUGUCCCUCAAGAAAGCUCUUCUUGGUGCUUAAUUCUUGUAAUUGCUCUUUUAAAAUCUAGCAAUAGCCUGAGUUCCCAGAUGUAUUUUCCUUUUCCUUUUUU